UCCGGGAUGGUCGAGGUGGCAAGACGGCUGGCUUUGGCCCAGCAGAGCGAGGUUCGAAUCCUCGUCCCGGAA
Molecule: transfer RNA, 72 nt
Filed under: Anaerolineae bacterium
Lineage: Bacteria; Bacillati; Chloroflexota; Anaerolineae
Description: tRNA-Gln
Rfam family: tRNA
About the family: Transfer RNA (tRNA) molecules are approximately 80 nucleotides in length. Their secondary structure includes four short double-helical elements and three loops (D, anti-codon, and T loops).
Source: RNAcentral